Molecule: ribosomal RNA, 932 nt
Filed under: uncultured archaeon
Lineage: Archaea
Description: bacterial SSU rRNA
Rfam family: Archaeal small subunit ribosomal RNA
Source: RNAcentral
UUCCGGUUGAUCCCGCCGGACCCGACUGCUAUUUGGGUGAGAAUAAGCCAUGCGAGUUGAAUGGGAUACCUAAAGUUCCCAUAGCAAACUGCUCAGUAACACAUGAUCAACUUACCCUAUAGAGAGAAAUAACCUCGGGAAACUGAGGAUAAUGUUUCAUAAUUGAAUUGGCUUGGAAAAGUUUUUCAAUGAAAAGGAUAAAAAAAAUGGUUUUUAUCUGCUAUAGGAUAGGAUCGUGUUCGAUUAUGGUUGUUGGUGAGAUAAUGGCUCACCAAGCCGAUAAUCGAUAGGGGCCGUGAGAGCGGGAGCCCCGAGAUGGGUACUGAGACAACGACCCAGGCCUUACGAGGCGCAGCAGGCGCGGAACCUCCGCAAUACACGAAAGUGUGACGGGGUUACCCAAAGUGUUCAAUUGAACUGUGGUAGGUGAGUAAUGUCCCCUACUAGAAAGGAGAGGGCAAGGCUGGUGCCAGCCGCCGCGGUAAAACCAGCUCUUCAAGUGGUCGGGAUAAUUAUUGGGCUUAAAGUGUCCGUAGCCGGUUUAGUAAGUUCCUGGUAAAAUCGGGUAGCUUAACUAUCUGCAUGCUAGGAAUACUGCUAUACUAGAGGGCGGGAGAGGUCUGAGGUACUACAGGGGUAGGGGUGAAAUCUUAUAAUCCUUGUAGGACCACCAGUGGCGAAGGCGUCAGACUGGAACGCGCCUGACGGUGAGGGACGAAAGCCAGGGGAGCGAACCGGAUUAGAUACCCGGGUAGUCCUGGCCGUAAACGAUGCAUACUAUGUGAUGGUACGGCCAUGAGCCGUAUCAGUGCCGUAGGGAAACCGUUAAGUGUGCCGCCUGGGAAGUACGGUCGCAAGGCUAAAACUUAAAGGAAUUGGCGGGGGAGCGCCACAAGGGGUGAAGCCUGCGGUUCAAUUGGAUUCAACGCCGG